This 438-nucleotide ribosomal RNA is filed under the name uncultured bacterium. Its description in RNAcentral is "bacterial SSU rRNA". It matches the Rfam family "Bacterial small subunit ribosomal RNA", at positions 338 to 792 of the family's 1533-position model. The record is from RNAcentral.
CCUACGGGGGGCAGCAGUAGGGAAUAUUGCUCAAUGGGGGAAACCCUGAAGCAGCAACGCCGCGUGGAGGAUGACACUUUUCGGAGCGUAAACUCCUUUUCUUGGGAAAGAAUUAUGACGGUACCCAAGGAAUAAGCACCGGCUAACUCCGUGCCAGCAGCCGCGGUAAUACGGAGGGUGCAAGCGUUACUCGGAAUCACUGGGCGUAAAGGACGCGUAGGCGGAUUAUCAAGUCUUGAGUGAAAUCUAACGGCUUAACCGUUAAACUGCUUGGGAAACUGAUAAUCUAGAGUAAGGGAGAGGCAGAUGGAAUUCUUGGUGUAGGGGUAAAAUCCGUAGAGAUCAAGAAGAAUACCCAUUGCGAAGGCGAUCUGCUGGAACUUAACUGACGCUAAUGCGUGAAAGCGUGGGGAGCAAACAGGAUUAGAUACCCGGGUA